This 947-nucleotide ribosomal RNA is filed under the name uncultured marine bacterium. RNAcentral's name for it is "bacterial SSU rRNA". It matches the Rfam family "Bacterial small subunit ribosomal RNA", at positions 60 to 1003 of the family's 1533-position model. The record is from RNAcentral.
AGUCGAGCGAGAAAGUAUCUUCGGAUAUGAGUAGAGCGGCGGACGGGUGAGUAACGCGUAGGAAUCUACCUAGUAGAAGGGGAUAGCCCGAGGAAACUCGGAUUAAUACCGUAUACCUCCUAACGGAGAAAGAGGGCCUCUCUUGAUGCUCUCGCUAUUAGAUGAGCCUGCGUAAGAUUAGCUUGUUGGUGAGGUAAUGGCUUACCAAGGCUACGAUCUUUAGCUGGUCUGAGAGGACGAUCAGCCACAUUGGGACUGAGACACGGCCCAGACUCCUACGGGAGGCAGCAGUGGGGAAUAUUGGACAAUGGGCGAAAGCCUGAUCCAGCCAUACCGCGUGUGUGAAGAAGGCCUUAGGGUUGUAAAGCACUUUAAGCAGGGAGAAAAAGUUAUAAGUUAAUACCUUAUAACCUUGAUGUUACCUGCAGAAUAAGCACCGGCUAAUUCCGUGCCAGCAGCCGCGGUAAUACGGAAGGUGCAAGCGUUAAUCGGAAUUACUGGGCGUAAAGCGCGCGUAGGUGGUUUGUUAAGUUGGAUGUGAAAGCCCUGGGCUCAACCUAGGAACUGCAUCCAAAACUAAUUCACUAGAGUACGAUAGAGGGAGGUAGAAUUCAUAGUGUAGCGGUGGAAUGCGUAGAUAUUAUGAAGAAUACCAGUGGCGAAGGCGGCCUCCUGGAUCUGUACUGACACUAAGGUGCGAAAGCGUGGGUAGCGAACAGGAUUAGAUACCCUGGUAGUCCACGCCGUAAACGAUGACAACUAGCUGUUGGGAAACAAUGUUUUUCAGUGGCGCAGCUAACGUUUUAAGUUGUCCGCCUGGGGAGUACGGCCGCAAGGCUAAAACUCAAAUGAAUUGACGGGGACCCGCACAAGCGGUGGAGCAUGUGGUUUAAUUCGAUGCAACGCGAAAAACCUUACCUACUCUUGACAUACUUGGAAGCUCUUGU